CUCAAUAAAUUUUGCCUCUAUGAUAAUUCCAUGAUUUGUAUUAGAUCACAAAAUCCCAGUCCAUGAAAAAAACAUAAGGGGGAAACGCCAAAAUAGGAAAUCAGAUCAGGAAAAAAAUGAAAAACAAUUUUACAUACAAACGAUUAAAUGGAGGAAAAACAGAAACAUAUGUGAGUUCUAAUUAGUUGUUGAUUUCUUUCUAAAUUGCAAAUCUACAAUAACAUUUAUAUAGAGAACUGAAAAUACUUAAUAUAAAACAUAAUUGAAGAAUACAGAAUGGGAUUUCAAGUAGAAGUUGACUUCAAGUUCUGCACAAAGACUGUCAAAUCUGGAGGGAAAGAAGGAGACAGGCCUGUAAGCCCAGACAGCCAAUCUAUCCCAGAAGGUGCACCAAAUGCUGGGGCAUAACUGCUCCCCCCAGACGAGUGUCCGUGGCUGCAGCAGCCAAAGGGAUCAAACUGUGGUGAAGCUGUUGCAUCCAGAGUUGGCCAGAGACCUUGCAGACACAUUCAGAUGGAACUGGGAUGUUAAUGGUGUUGGCAGUUAGUGCAGAAUUUUCAAAUGGAUAUUUCCAUUGUAGCUUGAUCCCCAAGGGCCAGAUCGCCUUUUAAAGUGGCUGCAAGCUGCGCUGCCUUCCAUUUGCCUCAGGAAACAAUUGAACAAGCCACCCUGAAGUUGGCCGGAUCCUCCUCUCUGGUUCCCUACAGACUGACUCUCUUUUUUUUUUCCUAAGCAGGCCAGGAGCCAGGCUGAAAUUCAACAAAAAACAAGGAUGGUUGAGUUGUUCUGAUUUAAUCAACAUUUUUAACAGGAGCCUCCGUGUGGCAGUGAUAGCCAGCUGUUCUCCCAAACAUUCGUGCUCCCCUCCCACAAUGCAAUCGCAGCUGGGAAUGGGUUGCCCCAGCACUGACUCCAUUUCCCAGCACUUUCACUUGCUUCUAAGUAGUGCUGUGGGACUAGUUCUCAGCAAUGGAAGAUAAGCAGAAUGGUGACUGUCACUUCUAACCCAAGGCGGCCAUAAGGUAGAUAAGCUUAUUCUACCCGCUCACUUCUUCCAUCUGCUGGCUGAAUUUUGUUGCCCAGAGAGAUUUCAGGAACCACUUCUUGAAAAUAACAGAAUCUCCUUGGGCUGGGUUUCCAAAUAGUGUUACCGAAAGUUCAGUCUCUGAUCUCAAAGCCAAUCCAAGUAACGAGACGAGAGUCUUGGGAGAAAAAGGAAAGGCUUUACUUUGCCAGGCAGAGGGAGAAAAGCAAAAGCCCAGUGCCCCAAAAAAGUUGCUUUCUCCCUGUUAAGAAACGGGUAGGAGUUUUUAUUGGGGGUUUUAGGUAGGGGACAAGGGCAGUGGCCUUCUUGGUCAGCAUUUUCCCAUCAGCCUGUGUCUGGGGCUGCUUCCAGAGGAGACAAAGGAUUUCUUGGGUGAGUGUCCUUGGCUGUUUCUCUCCAUGGUGGAGGGUACACUCUGACGUCAGGAAGCCAAGGAGUUGGCCCUGGGAAGCUUCGGUUUCUUGAUAUUCUGUGGACAUUAGUUUCUCUGUAAGAGAACUUCAAGGUCCUGUGAUUAGCCACAACUUUAGUGGGAGCCCAGCGUGAAGUCACCUGGACUUUAACAAUUUGUAACUUCUAUUUGGUUGUAAAGCUCAGGGAGGCAGAGGUUAAAGAAACAAACAUUUACAUAUGAGUGUAACUAAAGACCCAGGGACCUGGGAAUGUGCACCUUUAGUUUUAACCCUUACGUGCUGGGUUCACUGUAGGGGAACCAACCUCAGGGCUGAUAUUAACUAA
This 1783-nucleotide long non-coding RNA is filed under the name Equus caballus (horse). RNAcentral describes it as "lncRNA (ENSECAG00000047241.1)". Lineage: Eukaryota; Metazoa; Chordata; Mammalia; Perissodactyla; Equidae. The record is from RNAcentral.